GACGAACGCUGGCGGCGUGGAUUAGGCAUGCAAGUCGGACGGUAGGGCUUUAUCGUAAGAUAGAGUUUGAGAGUGGCGAACGGGUGAGUAACACGUAGGAAUCUACCCUUAAGACGGGGACAACCCAGGGAAACUUGGGCUAAUACCGGAUGAGAGUGCGAGAGAUUGCAUUUAAAAGGAUGGCGAAAGUUGUCGCUUAGGGAUGAGCCUGCGGUCUAUUAGUUAGUUGGUGAGGUAACGGCUCACCUAGGCAAUGAUAGGUAGGCGGCCUUAACGGGUGGUCGCCCACACUGGGAUUGAGAUACGGCCCAGACUCCUACGGGAGGCAGCAGUCGAGAAUAGUCUACAAUGGUCGGAAGACUGAUAGUGCGACGCCGCGUGAACGAUGAAUCCCUUCGGGGUUAAAGUUCUUUUAUAUGUGAGCAGUGCUUCUUAUAUUAACAGUAUGGGGAAGAGAUAUUAGCAUAUGAAUAAGCAACGGCUAACUCCGUGCCAGCA
RNAcentral lists this ribosomal RNA (498 nucleotides) under uncultured bacterium. RNAcentral describes it as "bacterial SSU rRNA". It matches the Rfam family "Bacterial small subunit ribosomal RNA", at positions 28 to 513 of the family's 1533-position model. The record is from RNAcentral.